This 258-nucleotide ribosomal RNA is filed under the name uncultured bacterium. RNAcentral describes it as "partial small subunit ribosomal RNA". It matches the Rfam family "Bacterial small subunit ribosomal RNA", at positions 26 to 285 of the family's 1533-position model. The record is from RNAcentral.
AGGACGAACGCUGGCGGCGUGCUUUACACAUGCAAGUCGAACGGUGAACUCGGUGCUUGCACCGGGGGAUCAGUGGCGAACGGGUGAGUAACACGUGAGCAAUCUGCCCCUAACUCUGGGAUAACUGCGGGAAACCGCAGCUAAUACCGGAUACGACCCAGGCAGGCAUCUGCACUGGGUGGAAAGUUUUUCGGUAGGGAUGAGCUCGCGGCCUAUCAGCUUGUGGUGGGUAAUGGCCUACCAAGGCGACGACGGGUA